ACAUUCAGGACUCUUGAGAACAAUCAUGGUUUCAUGCACAGUAAGUGGAAACAUCUAUUCACAAUUUGAGAAGACGUGGCUGGGUAUCAGACAUGACGCUGUACAGUGGAAAGACUAACAUGCUCAUUUUCACUUGCACUGCCAAACCACCACCAUAAAUCACAUGUCCUACACUGAGGGGGGAAAAAAAUCACAAAGCAACACUACCCAUCUGCACAAACACAUACCUAAAUAUAGCUUUGGCAAAGUAAUUUAGAUAACUGUGUAGAAUGGAAAUUGUAGAUUUAAGUUGGAUUGGUUUUCUUUCAAUGACUUUUCCCCCAUUUAGGCAAAGGGGGGCCAAGCUUGUUGACAGGGGGGCAACCACCAGUUUGGUUUCUAUCGUUCUUCAAAACAUCUUUUGUGUUGAAUAGAAGAAAGAAAAUUAUAGCCUACAGGUCUGGAAAAUUAGCAUUUUGGGGUACACUAUCCCUUUAAGUUUGAUGAGCAUCAAAUCCAUCAUUUAAAUAAGAAUACGCCUUUCUUUCAAAAACAAGUACAUUGGAAAAAAACUACAUUUGAUCCAUAAUUCCUUUGACGUCGGAAGUAUACAAAACGUGUUAUUUGAAUGACAAGAGUCCAGUAGUGCUGUUCGUGUCUGUAUGAUAAGAAUCCAGAAGUGCUGUUUAUGUGUUUGUGCGUGUGAACUCCUGAUUAGUGUCUCGUCGCUGCAGCUGCGCCUGCACUGAGCGUGCGCGCGACGGCGCUGCGCGUUUGACAGCAGCAGGAGAAAGAGAAGAGAAGCUGCGGCGCGCGCCGACAAACAACACACUAAACGUACACCAGUCCCAUGAAACCGGACAGGUCGAGGAUUCAUCACUGGAAUCGUCCCUACGGAUGCUUUUGGUUUGCUCCAGGAAAUGCAUUAACCUCCUUUGUACGGUGACAAAGGGGUGUGUUAAUCUCACCGAGUUAGGAGGCAGGCACAUGGGGGUGGAUGCCAGGGAGAGUCGAGUGACCGCAUAUGUGUGUGUGUGAGGCAGAUGCCUGUCAGAGCGUUCCCUGGCCACACACAUGCUGCACGAGCCAAAGAGAAUGGUUAGUGAGGUACAUACUUGAUACCAGGAAAGGACUGCUGUUGACUCACUGCAGUAUUAAGGUAAUAGUGUUCUAGCUGUUAAAAAUAACAUGUUUUUUACCCAGAAUGACCCUCUGUUUGGUGUGUUGGUUAAUUUGUUCUUGGUGAUUUGAUCUUGAGUUUUUUUUUUUUUUUGUGGUAUUUAUUAGGGUAACAUUUGCGUUUCUCACACCCUGUGGGUCGAAGUUACACCUCCAGGGUGAACUAUUUCCUUUCACUUCUUUGACUCGGGUUUUGUGACUAUAGUUCCUUAGAACAAACAGCAUUUUGUCCAUUGCACGGUACACACCUGGUAUCACCUUACCUGCUAAAACCAGUCAGAUUUGUCUUUGUGUGCGCUGAUUUGUUUAUUCUGAAGUCAUAGUGUCUGCUGAUGGGAUGUCUGUAGGUGUACAACUAAAACCAAAAGUUUUAUGGCAGCAUGUAUUGAGGUGAUAGGAGAAACCUUUUUCUGUUUUAUCUGCAAAUCUGUGGUAUGUUUAAUAUAUUUAAGUAGAGAGAUAGAUAUAGUCAUGCAUGUUGAUGUAGGUGAUAUAGUAUUUAUUUACUGAUCAGUAUACAAAAAUUUGUGUGGAAGAAUGGAUGGAUAAAUUAAUAGAUAGAUGAUUGGAUGAAAAGAGAAAUGGAUGGAUGGAUGGAAAAGAAAUGAAUGGAUGGAUAAAUGGAUGAUAUAUGAAUGAAUGAAAAAGAAAUUUAUGGGUGGAUGGAUGCAUGAAAAAUAAAUGGAUAAAUGGAUAGAUAAAUGUAUGAAAA
Cyprinus carpio (common carp) is the source of this 1870-nucleotide long non-coding RNA. The record is from Ensembl. Lineage: Eukaryota; Metazoa; Chordata; Actinopteri; Cypriniformes; Cyprinidae.